GAUGAACGCUGGCGGCGUGCCUAAUACAUGCAAGUCGAACGCAUAGCGAAAGGUGCUUGCACCUUUCAAGUGAGUGGCGAACGGGUGAGUAACACGUGGACAACCUGCCUCAAGGCUGGGGAUAACAUUUGGAAACAGAUGCUAAUACCGAAUAAAACUUAGUGUCGCAUGACACAAAGUUAAAAGGCGCUUCGGCGUCACCUAGAGAUGGAUCCGCGGUGCAUUAGUUAGUUGGUGGGUAAAGGCCUACCAAGACAAUGAUGCAUAGCCGAGUUGAGAGACUGAUCCGCCACAUUGGAACUUAGACACGGCCCAAACUCCUACGGGAGGCUGCAGUAGGGAAUCUUCCACAAUGGGCGAAAGCCUGAUGGAGCAACGCCGCGUGUGUGAUGAAGGCUUUCGGGUCGUAAAGCACUGUUGUAUGGGAAGAACAGCUAGAAUAGGAAAUGAUUUUAGUUUGACGGUACCAUACCAGAAAGGGACGGCUAAAUACGUG
RNAcentral lists this ribosomal RNA (496 nucleotides) under uncultured bacterium. RNAcentral's name for it is "partial 16S ribosomal RNA". It matches the Rfam family "Bacterial small subunit ribosomal RNA", at positions 28 to 507 of the family's 1533-position model. The record is from RNAcentral.